GACGAACGCUGGCGGCGUGCCUAAUACAUGCAAGUAGAACGCUGAAGCUUGGUGCUUGCACCGAGCGGAUGAGUUGCGAACGGGUGAGUAACGCGUAGGUAACCUGCCUGGUAGCGGGGGAUAACUAUUGGAAACGAUAGCUAAUACCGCAUAACAGUAGAUAUCGCAUGAUAGCUACUUGAAAGGUGCAAAUGCACCACUACCAGAUGGACCUGCGUUGUAUUAGCUAGUUGGUGAGGUAACGGCUCACCAAGGCAACGAUACAUAGCCGACCUGAGAGGGUGAUCGGCCACACUGGGACUGAGACACGGCCCAGACUCCUACGGGAGGCAGCAGUAGGGAAUCUUCGGCAAUGGACGGAAGUCUGACCGAGCAACGCCGCGUGAGUGAAGAAGGGUUUCGGAUCGUAAAGCUCUGUUGUAAGAGAAGAGCGAGUGUGAGAGUGGAAAGUUCACACUGUGACGGUAUCUUACCAGAAAGGGACGGCUAACUACGUG
Molecule: ribosomal RNA, 497 nt
Filed under: uncultured bacterium
Lineage: Bacteria
Description: partial 16S ribosomal RNA
Rfam family: Bacterial small subunit ribosomal RNA
Source: RNAcentral